GAUGAACGCUGGCGGCGUGCCUAAUACAUGCAAGUCGAGCGAAUGGAUUAAGAGCUUGCUCUUAUGAAGCUAGCGGCGGACGGGUGAGUAACACAUGGGUAACCUGCCCAUAAGACUGGGAUAACUCCGGGAAACCGGGGCUAAUACCGGAUAACAUUUUGAACCGCAUGGUUCGAAAUUGAAAGGCGGCUUCGGCUGUCACUUAUGGAUGGACCCGCGUCGCAUUAGCUAGUUGGUGAGGUAACGGCUCACCAAGGCAACGCUGCGUAGCCGACCUGAGAGGGUGAUCGGCCACACUGGGACUGAGACACGGCCCAGACUCCUACGGGAGGCAGCAGUAGGGAAUCUUCCGCAAUGGACGAAAGUCUGACGGAGCAACGCCGCGUGAGUGAUGAAGGCUUUCGGGCCGUAAAACUCUGUUGUUAGGGAAGAACAAGUGCUAGUUGAAUAAGCUGGCACCUUGACGGUACCUAACCAGAAAGCCACGGAUAACUACGUGCCAGCCGCCGCAGUAA
Molecule: ribosomal RNA, 515 nt
Filed under: uncultured bacterium
Lineage: Bacteria
Description: partial 16S ribosomal RNA
Rfam family: Bacterial small subunit ribosomal RNA
Source: RNAcentral